GCCUCGCUAAACGAUGCACACCUGUAACUCACGUGACCCUGAUUAUUAUUGAAACGAGAACGAGGGCGUCGUGCCUUUAUAAGACUGCGUUAAUGUUUCCGUGGAGUUAUCCCUUCCGGCGUUGUUGUUUAUUGAUUGUUAAACAUGGCUUCAUUUGCAAAGGUGUGUGUGUCCUCAUUGCGUGUGUCUGUAAUGCAUUCUGUUUUCCGAAGAGAGAUGUGAACUUUAAGGCCUCUGCAGUUGACCGCCAAAGUGAUGAUGUGGUUGUCACCACAACACCCGUUCCCCACAACCAGACCACAUCUGCCCAUACUGAAGCUGGUGGUGGUGCAAGUGAAGAUGCUGUGGCUACUACCCCAGCACCUAAUCCACACAACCAGACAACUUCUGCACAAACUGAAGUUACUGAUGGAGCCAGUGAAGAUGCUGUGGACCGCCAAAGUGAUGUGGUUGUCGCCACAACACCCGAUCCCCACAACCGGACCACAUCUGCCCAUACUGAAGCUGGUGGUGGUGCAAGUGAAGAUGCUGUGGCUACUACCCCAGCACCUAAUCCACACAACCAGACAACUUCUGCACAAACUGAAGUUACUGAUGGAGCCAGUGAAGAUGCUGUGGACCGCCAAAGUGAUGAUGUGGUUUCCACCACAACACCCAAUCCCCACAACCAGACCACAUCUGCCCCUACUGAAGCUGGUGGAGAUGGAGCAAGUGAAGAUGAUGAUGAUGCAGCAAGUGAAGAUGCUGUGGCUACCACCCCAACACCAAAUCCCCCAACUACAUCUGACCACACUGCAGCUACCGGUGAUGCAAGUGAGGGUGCUGUGGCUGCCCAAACUGGAACUACUGUAUCCCAUACGACUGAAGUCUGAUUCGACUGCUCCUCUGGUCACAAUGACCUGAGUCACUGUCUGGACUUUUUGCCUCUACAUGUUGACUGCAAUAAAGGACAGAUUUGUUUUUUGAAUCAAAUGUUGUCUUGCCUUUUUCAAAUUGAGGCCUUGUCCUGUUUUGGUGGUGGAGAUGACUAUGAAGCCUCUUUCCUAACGUAUUUCCGGUAGUGGUUUUACUAUAUGCUUCAUGCAACAAGGCCUUUAACGACUCUACAAUUUAAAAGCAUCUAGUUGUGUCAAUUAGUAAAAUGGUUGAACUGGUAGUGAUGCACUAUAAUGGUGAACUGCUUGUGGCAUUUCAAAAAUCU
Clupea harengus (Atlantic herring) is the source of this 1201-nucleotide long non-coding RNA. The record is from Ensembl. Lineage: Eukaryota; Metazoa; Chordata; Actinopteri; Clupeiformes; Clupeidae.